Molecule: ribosomal RNA, 503 nt
Filed under: uncultured bacterium
Lineage: Bacteria
Description: partial 16S ribosomal RNA
Rfam family: Bacterial small subunit ribosomal RNA
Source: RNAcentral
AUUGAACGCUGGCGGCAGGCUUAACACAUGCAAGUCGAGCGGAGUGAUGGUGCUUGCACUAUCACUUAGCGGCGGACGGGUGAGUAAUGCUUAGGAAUCUGCCUAUUAGUGGGGGACAACAUCUCGAAAGGGAUGCUAAUACCGCAUACGUCCUACGGGAGAAAGCAGGGGAUCACUUGUGACCUUGCGCUAAUAGAUGAGCCUAAGUCGGAUUAGCUAGUUGGGGGGGUAAAGGCCUACCAAGGCGACGAUCUGUAGCGGGUCUGAGAGGAUGAUCCGCCACACUGGGACUGAGACACGGCCCAGACUCCUACGGGAGGCAGCAGUGGGGAAUAUUGGACAAUGGGGGGAACCCUGAUCCAGCCAUGCCGCGUGUGUGAAGAAGGCCUUAUGGUUGUAAAGCACUUUAAGCGAGGAGGAGGCUCUUUUGGUUAAUACCCAAGAUGAGUGGACGUUACUCGCAGAAUAAGCACCGGCUAACUCUGUGCCAGCAGCCGCGGUAA